Molecule: ribosomal RNA, 423 nt
Filed under: uncultured bacterium
Lineage: Bacteria
Description: bacterial SSU rRNA
Rfam family: Bacterial small subunit ribosomal RNA
Source: RNAcentral
CCCAGACUUGACAUGUAGGUGGCGCACUCAGAAAUGAGUGUUUUCGUAUGAACGCCUACACAGGUGCUGCAUGGCUGUCGUCAGCUCGUGCCGUGAGGUGUUGGGUUAAGUCCCGCAACGAGCGCAACCCUUAUCACUAGUUGCCAACACGUAAUGGUGGGAACUCUGGUGAGACUGCCUGGGUGAACCAGGAGGAAGGUGAGGAUGAGGUCAAGUCAGCAUGGCCCUUAUGUCUGGGGCUUCACGCAUGCUACAAUGGCCGGUACAGAGGGCAGCAAUACCGCAAGGUGGAGCGAAUCCCAAAAAGCCGGUCCCAGUUCGGAUUGAGGUCUGCAACUCGACCUCAUGAAGUUGGAGUCGCUAGUAAUCGCGGAUCAGCAACGCCACGGUGAAUACGUUCCCGGGUCUUGUACACACGCAAUC